Molecule: ribosomal RNA, 530 nt
Filed under: Strongyloides stercoralis
Lineage: Eukaryota; Metazoa; Nematoda; Chromadorea; Rhabditida; Strongyloididae
Description: partial 28S ribosomal RNA
Rfam family: Archaeal large subunit ribosomal RNA (bases 1-261)
Source: RNAcentral
GUAUAGGUUUUAUUAUUAUUAAUAAAUUAUUAUUAAAUAAUUGUAUUUAAAUAUACAGCCACAGAAGGUGCCAGCCCUGUUAUUUAAUAAUAUUUAUUAAAUUUAUAAAACUUUAGAGUCGUGUUGCUUGGAAGUGCAGCACAAAGUUGGUGAUAAACAUCAUCUAAGGCUAAAUAUUCCUAUGAAUCCGAUAGCGAACAAGUACUGUGAAGGAAAAUUGCAAAGUACUCCGGAGAGAGAGUUAAAGAGGACGUGAAACCGAUACGAUGGAAGCAUACAGAGCCAGUUGCACUAUUAUUAAUAUUUUUUUAUUAAUAAUUUUAAGCAUGGGUAUAUUGAUUAUUAAUUAGUUAUUUAUUAAAGAGUGAUAAAAUUUUUUUAAAUUUUGUUAACUUUAAUAAAAUAAUUAUAUUUAUAAUUAAUAUUUAUUAUUAUUAAUGUAUUAAUAAUAUUUUAAUUAUUAAUAUAAUAUAAGACACAUGUGUUAAAUAUUAUUUAUUGGUAAUUAUUAUAUUAUUAUAAAUUAAUAA